MicroRNA precursor from Hucho hucho (huchen), 58 nucleotides. Lineage: Eukaryota; Metazoa; Chordata; Actinopteri; Salmoniformes; Salmonidae. The record is from Ensembl.
UCCUUCAUUCCACCGGAUCCUGUUUCCCAGUCUGCAGAUUCCCAGUGGGAUGAAGCGC